RNAcentral lists this transfer RNA (74 nucleotides) under Loxodonta africana (African savanna elephant). It matches the Rfam family "tRNA". Rfam says of the family: Transfer RNA (tRNA) molecules are approximately 80 nucleotides in length. The record is from Rfam by way of RNAcentral. Lineage: Eukaryota; Metazoa; Chordata; Mammalia; Proboscidea; Elephantidae.
AUCCCUGUUGUACAAACGGUCUACACGUUUGGCUGUCAACCAAAAGGUUGGUGGCUCAAGACCACCUAGAGGUU